UCUGUCCCAAACAAACAGAAAAAUCAUCUUUCUCGAGACAAUUAGACAAAUAUUAACGUAGUACUGAUUAUGAAUGUAGAUGAAUAACAAACAAAUCGCCUUUCAUUUCUGAAUGGCUUUAAUAUCUUUAAAAGUUGAUUAUCAUAAGUCUGCGUUUCUGCAUUGUAUCUUCCUUUACCUACAGUACAAGAUGCACAUGAAGCAGGAUAUUUAAUUUGCUAUUUAAUAAACAAAAACAUUAUCUGUAGCAACAAGUAUUGCUAGAGGAUGAAAUUUCACUCGCGCAGCAUAUCCAAGACAAAAUAAAAAUUUCCCCAAGCAAGAAUGAUCUCCGAAAAUGAUACAUAGAUGGCACUGCUAGUUUAACGAGGACACCGAAGACAUCACAGACGGUUGGUGAGUUACGAAUUGUGUAUUCCGACUUCCUUGUUUUAGAUAUUCAGGGUCCAACAAAGAUCUCAUUUGAUGGGCAUGGCUAACUAACGUUGAUAAAUCUUAUUGGCGAUUCCUUGUGGAUUUUUUGCAAGUAAUUGAACGGUGAGGCAAUUUAAUGGUGAUUACCAGUGGAUUUUUGCAAGUAAUCUUGCACGGCGAGGCAACCUACUGGUAAUUCCCAGUGGAUUUUUGCAACUACUUAAUGGUUACCUAUGUACAAUUGGCACAAAACGUGCCAGACUUUUGAAGUGGCGGUACAAUUGAUCCAAGUACAGUGUAGUCACCAUGAAAGUUGGAAGCUAAAAAUGAAGCCUUUGAGAAAAUUAAUUCUGAAAAAGUAAAAAAUGAAAGAAUAUUCCAAACUUUUGACAAGAAAGGUGAUAAAGAAUUUUUCUACCUUGAAAAGUAGCAGAUCAUUGUACUAUGGCAAUGUUCCUGUAAUGAAGGAAGAGUGAGGAGGAUCCAAAAAGAGCAGCUAAAUGGAGAAGAGGCCAUACCGUGUCAUUUUUUUAGUCUACUUUUUCUACUUGAGUGCUACUUAAAUUUAAAAAUUGAACAGUUGGCUGAAUUAAGAAUAUUUCUUCUCGGCUUCGUGCCCUUUCAUCAUUUAUGUUGAAUAGUUUGAUGGAUAUUAUCCAAAUUUUCAUACCUUUUCCCUCAUAAUUGAGUGGUUCUUCACUUAUAGCCUUACUCGUUCCUCAGCUUGCUUUUAGGUUGGGUCUUGCAAUGUCUUAUGAAGUUUCUUGAGUUUCACGCCAACUCUCUUUCUUUCAGCUUGCUGAGGAGGAGUACCGGUUUCAUUUUCACUUUCUCGCCUUCUCUCAAUCUUUCAGCUUCGUUAUAUCCAGUUUAACACUAGUUUCUUUACUUUCAUGCCGCCACUCUUUCUUUCAGCUAGCCAUGUUGGGUGUUCCAGUUUCUUCUUUACUUUCAUGCCUCCUCCCGUUCUUUCAGCGUGCUUAAGUUGAGUGUUCCAGUUCCUUCACUUUCACGCCUCUCUCGUUCUCUCUGCUCCUUAACUUUUCAAUUAGCAAGCUGAAACAAAGAUGAAUGAAUUUGUUUUUACUAUAAACAUCCUGCAAUUAACCAGUAUAACGUAUACCGAAGCACAAAUUAUUUGGCAAACGAAGGGAGAUGGACAAUUUUAACAUACGGUCCAUGUGUAAAAAAUAUUAAAGGGACACAUUUCCGAAUGAACAUCUGUUAAUAUUUAUUAUUUGAACGCCAUAAAAGUCGAAAAGCUGGUCUGCUUACUUUUGCAAUGUGGUAACCUGAAAGAAAAAAAUAUAAGUCGAACAAAAUCCUCGAUGAAAUUGUUACUUUACCUUUAUAAAUGUUUAUCUACUCUAGCUAAGCCACCAAUUUUACAAAUAAAUUAUGAAAUUAUGAAAAUUCUUCCUAGUGUCUUACAAGUUAUUAUUAGAAGCAUUUUAAUUACCCUCCUUGCAAGUAUUAUUAGCAUUUUAAGUCUGUACAAAAAUUAACUCGCCAGUACCCUUAACAUCGAUAAAAUU
Molecule: long non-coding RNA, 1949 nt
Organism: Macrobrachium nipponense
Lineage: Eukaryota; Metazoa; Arthropoda; Malacostraca; Decapoda; Palaemonidae
Exons: 3
Source: RefSeq, a predicted model, not a curated record